Molecule: transfer RNA, 67 nt
Filed under: chicken gut metagenome
Rfam family: tRNA
About the family: Transfer RNA (tRNA) molecules are approximately 80 nucleotides in length. Their secondary structure includes four short double-helical elements and three loops (D, anti-codon, and T loops).
Source: RNAcentral
UGGUAUAGCUCAGUCGGUAGAGCGACGCACUCGUAAUGCGUAGGUCGCCGGUUCAAGUCCGGCUACC